RNAcentral lists this ribosomal RNA (231 nucleotides) under uncultured bacterium. RNAcentral describes it as "partial 16S ribosomal RNA". It matches the Rfam family "Bacterial small subunit ribosomal RNA", at positions 99 to 334 of the family's 1533-position model. The record is from RNAcentral.
CGGACGGGUGAGUAAUGUCUGGGAAACUGCCCGAUGGAGGGGGAUAACUACUGGAAACGGUAGCUAAUACCGCAUAACGUCGCAAGACCAAAGAGGGGGACCUUCGGGCCUCUUGCCAUCGGAUGUGCCCAGAUGGGAUUAGCUAGUAGGUGGGGUAACGGCUCACCUAGGCGACGAUCCCUAGCUGGUCUGAGAAGAUGCCAGCCACACUGGAACUGAGACACGGUCCAG